This 468-nucleotide ribosomal RNA is filed under the name uncultured bacterium. Its description in RNAcentral is "partial 16S ribosomal RNA". It matches the Rfam family "Bacterial small subunit ribosomal RNA", at positions 28 to 507 of the family's 1533-position model. The record is from RNAcentral.
GACGAACGCUGGCGGCGUGCUUAACACAUGCAAGUCGAACGGAAAGGCCCUGCUUUUGUUGGGUUCUCGAGUGGCGAACGGGUGAGUAACACGUGAGUAACCUGCCCUUGACUUUGGGGUAACUUCAGGAAACUGGGGCUCAUACCGGAUAGGAUCUCCUGCUGCAUAGUGGGGGUUGGAGAGUUUCGGCCGUUGGGGCUGGUCUCGCUGCUUAUCAGCUUGUUUGUGGGGUAGUGGCGUACCAAGGCUUUGAAGGGUAGCCGGCCUGAGAGGGUGACCGGCGACAAGGGGCCUGAGGUAGGGCGCAGAAUGGAACGGUAGGCAGUAGUGGGGAACAUUGCACAAUGGGCGGAAGCCAGAUGUAACAACGCCGCGUGCGGAAUGACGGGUUUCGGGGUGUAAACAGCUUUCGCAGGUGACGAAGAGUGAGUGACGGUAAUGGGUAAAGAAGCACCGGCUAACUACGUG